CCGAGUGGCGAACGGGUGAGUAACACGUGGGUGAUCUGCCCUGCACUUCGGGAUAAGCCUGGGAAACUGGGUCUAAUACCGGAUAGGACGAUGGUUUGGAUGCCAUUGUGGAAAGUUUUUCGGUGUGGGAUGAGCUCGCGGCCUAUCAGCUUGUUGGUGGGGUAAUGGCCUACCAAGGCGUCGACGGGUAGCCGGCCUGAGAGGGUGUACGGCCACAUUGGGACUGAGAUACGGCCCAG
RNAcentral lists this ribosomal RNA (239 nucleotides) under uncultured Actinomycetales bacterium. RNAcentral describes it as "partial 16S ribosomal RNA". It matches the Rfam family "Bacterial small subunit ribosomal RNA", at positions 91 to 334 of the family's 1533-position model. Lineage: Bacteria; Bacillati; Actinomycetota; Actinomycetes; Actinomycetales. The record is from RNAcentral.